RNAcentral lists this ribosomal RNA (176 nucleotides) under uncultured bacterium. RNAcentral describes it as "partial 16S ribosomal RNA". It matches the Rfam family "Bacterial small subunit ribosomal RNA", at positions 335 to 526 of the family's 1533-position model. The record is from RNAcentral.
ACUCCUACGGGAGGCAGCAGUGGGGAAUUUUCCGCAAUGGGCGCAAGCCUGACGGAGCAACGCCGCGUGAGGGAUGAAGGCCUCUGGGCUGUAAACCUCUUUUAUCAAGGAAGAAGAUCUGACGGUACUUGAUGAAUAAGCCACGGCUAAUUCCGUGCCAGCAGCCGCGGUAAUAC